RNAcentral lists this non-coding RNA (168 nucleotides) under Fragilariopsis kerguelensis. The record is from RNAcentral. Lineage: Eukaryota; Bacillariophyta; Bacillariophyceae; Bacillariales; Bacillariaceae.
GAAGACAACUCAGAUAAAACAGGUGCCUAUACCUGCUAGUACUACUACUUUUGCUACCAUUGCUGCUAUUAACGUUGAUGCUGCUACAACGAAUGUUGCCUCGACAGACGUCACCACUUUUCUGAAGAAGACAAAAACAAUGAAGAUCAAGAAUUUGCCUACACCUGC